UGGUGGCAUUUUAUUUUAUUAGAGGAAUAUGUUUAAUAAUCGUAACCACACGAUUACUUUCACUUUUAAUUAUAUUUUAUAUACCGCCGUCUUGAAUAAAUCAUAAAAUUUUGUUCAAAAUAAAAUUCUAAAAAUUUAGGUAAAGGUGUAAACUAUCUAAAAGAUAAAAUGUAUUACAUUAAAAAAAAAUUUAAGGACUAAAUUAAAAUAUAAUUUAAGAAAAAGGAUUUAUAAGUAUUAUUUAAUCAAAAUUAAAAUUUGAAUUAAAAAUAAAUG
RNAcentral lists this ribosomal RNA (276 nucleotides) under Tetragnatha sp. RNAcentral describes it as "partial small subunit ribosomal RNA". Lineage: Eukaryota; Metazoa; Arthropoda; Arachnida; Araneae; Tetragnathidae. The record is from RNAcentral.